GGAAUAUACGGUACCUUUAAUUUAGGAGUGAUAUAAGGUACAAUUAAUUUACAGUUAAAACACCUUAUGGUAUAAAAUUGGUAAUUAGGUAUAUUAAAUGUAAUUAAAUCAAACCUUAAACAUUAAGGGUAAUAUAGUUUCCUAUAUGGCAUAGGAUUGUAAAAAUUCCAUUAGUAAUUAGAAACCUAAGUACUGAAGAUCGGCUGCUGUGAGAGAGAACUGAGAACCGAGAAACCUAAUUAGAUCUGCGACUGCGGUCUGGCUGUCUGGGAGUGCGAUAGAGAUGACGUCACGGCGACUUCACGACCUCGGCGCCGACGACUCUCAAGUGUGACUGCUGGUUUACUCAUUUUUUACCUUUAUUCUUCGAUCUUCAACUCUUCAACAGGUUCAUAACUUUUCAUUCUUCAAUCUUCAGUUUUUUUAGAAUAAUAGCUGUAUUGUUGGAGAAGGAAUAUUAUUUUAGUAAACAUCUCGAAAUUUCUUGACUACUGUAUAUGGAAAAUUUAUUAUGAAGCUUUAAGCACCUAGUAAUUAUGAAUGUUUACUGUGAGGUACUCAUGUUAAUUCUGUCAAUAGAACAUGAUUUACCUAUGUUCCCUAAUUGUAUAUCCUAUUUUGUAAGUAGCUUAAGCCUUGAAAUAUUAUUAUCCCUCACGAAAAAUAAGCAUCACUUCCAAACAAUAGAUGUGAGAUUCACUGAUUGAGGGUCUGUAUUUCGUAAGUUAUCAUAGUGGUUUGUUUACGAGGAUGCCUUUGUUAGCAUUAAAUCAUGUUUCAUUUGUUUGCAAUUCUGUUCCCAAAACUCAAAAGUGUUCAAUUCUAUGAGCAAGUUCUCAAUUUGUUAGCAUUAGUCUUAAUUUGUGUUUAUAUUUGUUUUAAUUUUGUGUAGAUGGCAGAUGAAAGUAGAGUAAGUGAUGUCGGUUCAACUGAAAGUUUACCUAUUACUGAAGAUAGAAGAUAACGGAGAAGUUCGCAAAGUAGAGUGCAAAUAUUGUGGUUGAGUCCAUAAUAUUCAUACAAAGAGGAACGACACAUAUUGUUUAAGAAAGCAUAUUAGGCGUUGUCUUGAGCGUCUUCCUGAAAUCCGUAUUUAAGAAUUAAGACUAAGUUGAUUCGAGACUAUUAGUGUAAACUUGAAUUGAGGGAUGUCCUCUCUAUUUUUGUUGAGCUAUGUGUAAUUCUACUGCUACUCGUUAGAGUUUUUGCUUUUGUUUAAUUCUGUUGCACUGUGUUAAACUUGAAUUGUGGUUAUUUGUGAGUUAGGCAGAAUUGGUAGAUUUGAAUUGUGCACUGUUGCACUCGUUAAACUUGAAUUGUGCACUGUUGCACUCGUUAUUUGUAAGUUGGGCGAAAGUUUGUCAUACAAUGACGAUUAUUUAGUGUUGCUAGCUUGCUUAUUUGAUUAUUUAGUAUUGCUGGCUUGCUGGCUUUUUUUUAGGCAGAAUGGUAGAUUACUUAGUGUUGAUGCGGUGCUGCCUUACACGCCUUUUGUUAUGCAGAAUUGGUAGAUUUGAUUAUUUAGUGAUGCUGCCUUUUGCUUAAUGCUUAGGCUCUUAGCACUUAGCAGUACGUGACACAUGAAUAUGUAUUAAACCGAAACCGUGCCGAAACCAUACCGAACCAAAAUAAGAAAUACCGAACCGUACCGAAAUAUUUUGGUAUGGUAUCUGAUAUGUACAAUUGAUAAACUGAAUACCGAAAUACCGAACCGAAAUUCUUAAAUACCGAACUGAAGUACCGAACGUCCACCCCUAGUUAAAGGACUUAGCUUUAUGCAUAUAGGAUAAGCAACGAGAGUAACCUAGAGUUCGGUAGCAGACCACAGUAACGAUAAAUUAAAGUAAGAGUUAUGGUAUAGUAUAGACUACUUAGAUGUAGUAAAGCUAAUGACGCCCAGAGGGACAAAUUAUCAUAAUUUUGUAUAUGUUCAAAAAGUGAGGCCUAGAGAUUGGCUAAAAGCUGGAGGAAAGAGGAGAGAAGAGUCCCAUAGGCGCACAUACAAGGUCAGAGUCGUACAAGCCACAUGAUAGAAGGUAGCAAUAUUUACGAGAUUGAAAGUAUUCCGACCACAAAUCAUGGUAUGAGAAAGAGGCCUAAAGGAGGGAAAUGCCCAUACAUUUGGAUUUAUUCACAGAACAGUUGCCUAGAUGGCAAGGAGAGUACUAAAGUAUUCGGAAGACAUAGGUUAUGAAAAUGAUAAGUGCAUCAGUCAACAUUCGAGGAAGAAUGUUCCAAAGAGGGGAAUGAUGUUACACCCCAUAUUUUCGUAUGUGAAAGUAUGCCAUAAGUGAAUUGAUAAAAGUUCGGAAAUGAGAUAUUACAUCCCGCAUUUUCGUACGUUAAAGUUUUGUCGUAAUUUAAUCAAUAUAGCUCGGGAAUGAGAUUAUUUUAAGAUUAUAAGUAUUGUACUAUUUCAAACAAGUGAUAAGUAAAUUUGUGAAGGUUAGAGGGUGAUCGAAUUAAAGAAAAUGAAUUUCGUCGAAGUUUGAAAAUUUGGGGAUNNNNNNNNNNNNNNNNNNNUGUAUGAAGUAUAUUAAAAGUUUAUUGAUUCUUUUAUUCUUCAAAAUUAUACGUUCUUUUGCUAAUAAAAGUAAAUCCAGUUGAUACCAUAGCUUUAAAACAAUAACAUUAUGAUUGAAUUAAAAAAAAAAAAAAAAAACUCAGUUGCAACACAAUUUUAUCAAUAAAAGUUUAGCUGUCAUCUGAAUAUCCAAACAAAAUCAAAUUAUGACACUUAACUUAGUAAUACAAGUUACACUUUAUAGAUUAAAUAGGAUUUAUAUAUAUAAAUAUAUAUUAUUCAUGAAUUUUGUAAAUACCAUACAUUUGUUGUCCAUUUUUUCCCCAAAGGCCACCACUCUUUUCCCCAAAGGAUUGCACAUAAUUAAUCUGAAUUAAUUGUCAAAGAGUUCUUGGAUGUGCUGGAUAGAUAGAGAUGGGAUACUUAUUAUUCCUUUGAGUUGCUCCAACUUUUGUGCCUUUUUUUGCAUAAAAUAAUGAUCUCAACUAUCAUAUCAUCACGCAACUCAUAUUAAUUACUAGUACUUAGCUUUCAACAAAGUUCUUGUUUAUUUUUUCCUAGGAAAAUUCUUUCUUAUUUCUAUUUGGAAAAUUAAAAACACAGCUCUCCUUUUCUUUUCCCAGUCUUCAAUUAUGAAUCUGAAGUAUGCUUUGUGCCCAGCCUUUUCUGACUCCUUAAACAACAUGAACAUUUCCUUCUAUUUCUAUUAAGUAUUUUUUUUGGGGUGGGUCGGUGGGUGGGAGGGGAUCUAGCUCCUCGUUGUUACACUUCAUUAUGAGUUGCAUCCGAGGGAUACUUUGUGUUUAAACAAUUUAACCUUAAUAGUAGGGUAGUGUAUACGCGACCUUACCCCUUCUUUAAAGGUAGAGAGGUUGUUUCAGAUAAAAAGAAAGCAAUAGCUACGAGCCAUUAAACAUAACAAGAGAACUUUUAAACUUUCCAUAAAGUUGGGUCCAAGCACCUAGAGUUCAACCAAAAGUACACCAUUACAAAAGUGGAAAAUCCAGUUGAUAAUUAGAAUAACUAGAGAACACCUUAUCAAAAAAUUAGAGUAACCAGGAAGACAUAACAGUAAGAGUAUAAAGCCAAGGAUGAAUUGCCCGCGGGUGAGUUGAAACUUGAAUCACAAGACAACUUUGAGUACAUUACUGAGUCCCAGCCAUGUUCAUGAAAUGCCAGUACUUCUACUACUUUGCAUGGAAACAGCCAUGUGAGAGGAUAGACUUGAGGCCCUGUGAUCAUGCUGCUGCUGCUGGAAAAUGACGCUGUUAUGCGCAGCAUCCUGUCGGACGCUCAAGAAAGCAGAAGUGUGAGCCUCACGUGUAACCAAAUCCUGAGAAGAAUUCAAGUCGUUUGGAAUUGAUUCUUGAAGCUUCUUUGUGCUAAGAAAACGCCCUCCGGACCCUCUAACCCUCUUUACCGCGUGAAGAUGCCGUGAUUCAUGAAGAUACGGCUGUAUGCAGUCAACAAGGGAAAUGAACGCAGAUUAAGCCCAAUACGACAACAACAAGAGACUCGGUGUAAUGCGUAGGCAGACCUAACCUCCUACCUUGUGAAGGCUGAUUAAGCCCAAUGUAGAUCGAAAAUUAGAAGUUAUAGCAAGUUUAAGCUUAUAAUAUUGGCUAAAAGGUAGGUUUAAGCUUAUAAUAGAUGAGACCAUUGGCAGGGACUACACUACAUGCACAGUUGCAUGAUGUUUAUUUUCACACUUUGAGUUGCUUCAAUCUGUAAACAUGGUACUAAAAACCUUUAUAUCUUCCUAGUUAGACUAGAUAGGCAUUAUUAACCAGCUUGAGAAACUCUAAACACAACAUAACCCGAAAACUCUAGCCUCCUCCGGAGAGGCAAAAAUAAAACCUUCUAGUCAAGUACCUAUUGACAUAAUCAUACAUCCCCAGUAAAUGUGAAGAAACUCUCCAGUCUAUCCGUUUUCCCCAAUUGGUGUCUCAGCAUAGUGCAUUGGCAGAAAAUCAACUCAGACAAACAGAUUUGAACUUGCUUCACUACUAAAACAUGGGAAAAGAUGAAAAGUAACAUAUACCUUUCUAGCUUUGACAAGUUUGUUUUGAGCCUCAAGCUUAGCACGCAUCUGUCUUCGCCUUAAGAUCCCAUGAUACUGUUUCGCAUUUACAUAAACCGGUCCAUCUUCUGCAAGAUCGAGGGGUAGAGGGACCCGUGCAGGCGCUAUGCUAAUCAUUUGAGGCUGAAUUGACCAAAUGUCAGAACUAAAACUAUUUUGAGACUGGACGAAUCAAAAUACAAUAUUCAUUAUUAUUCUCCUUUCCGAGCAAAUACAUCACCUAGUGCACAGAUUGAAUCAAAUGUUUAAAGCUUGACUCAGAAUACAAAUAGUGCACAUAUAAGUCGCAAAACAAUGAUAAUUCCUACAUACAAUGGCUUAUGCACUCUUUCAGGUUAACUAAGGACGAAGUACAGUUUUAGCAAAAUCAAACAACUUGAAGUUGUAAAACAUCAUGCACAUAAGGAUAGGAACAUAAAAGGAAAAUCAAGAUUAAUUGCAUUUUAGUAAGGUAAGAAAAACAAGCCAAUACGAUGUCAUUGCAAAAACAUAAAAGAGUUAAAGUGCAUUUAGCCUUCUCUCAUAUCCAUAAACCAAGACUUGAUAUGUCAAAAAGACCACAAACAUUAACGGAUCACCUUCUAUUUAAUAUAUAAGGGCCAUUGUGAAAAGUGAUCUAGUAGGGAAAAAAGAAAAGAAACUGAAAAUAAGCAACACGAGAGGCAAAUAUGAUAUUACAAUACUCACAAAAACAUGAGGUCCGUAAGCAGCAUAAAAGCCACUGAGAUAGGGGUCGGAGUAACCAAAAGGAGCGUGGCUCUGCAACAUUAAAUCUUGAUAGAUUAGUUUAAUACAAAUGUUAAAGCAAAAUAUCCUUGGAUAGCAGGAACUUACAAUUGAAUGGGCCAUUUCACUUUGUGAACAAUCGGUGGGAUAUUCUGGAUAUCUAAUAAAAGGAUUAGUCUUGAUUUGAGCUUGCUUAUUCCUUUUGUAGCUCUCGUCGUGAACUGAGGAAAGCAAAACAAGCCGUAAGAUACUCCACUCCUAAUAGCAAAUAAACUAUCCAGGAAAAAGUCAAAUUCUGUUUUGAUAAAGCUAUCAGCACUAAACUAAAUAGCUUUUCAUAUAUAGAAUUCAGCCAUUGUCAGCACAAGUGAGUCAUUAUCGUAUAAAAGAUCAUGCUGCAAAUGUAUAAACGUUAAGCAAGCACCAUCUAAACAAGUCGAGAUGUGCUUUCUCAGACCAAUUAAGACAAAGGAUCCAGAAAAUCCACUCUUACUGAAGUGUUACUAACAGCAGUCAUUAAUGAUUACACUACUAUAAAGUCCGAAAAGAUUCACUUAAUAAUCUGCAAGUAAUUACCAGAUCCAGAAGAAGCGCAUUGAUCUUGAGAACCUGUUUUCCCCAAAGCAGUCACUUCUAGCGGGGAGUUACUAUUUGAUUGGGUGGAGUAUGAGUCGUCGCCUUGUAAUCCCAGACCAAGAGGCUUCAUCUGCUGACAGGGCGGAGGUUGAAAUACCACUUCUGAGGUUAAAUUUUUCGGUAGAAACUGUGAAGACUGCACUUCAUUGGAACUCCACCAUGUUGAGCUAUUGACAGCAAAAUGAGGCACAAAGCAGGUGGAAGUUUGUUCUAAGCUUCUAUUUGGUAAAGCUUGAGCUCGAACAGCCAUUUGCUUAUCCGCACAUAAUUUUUCCUAGGCAUAAUCCGGUGAAACAACAAAGACGAGUAGCAGGCUGCACAAUUGACCAAAAAAUGAAAAGCAUAACAUAUUAAAAUAAAAUACAGAACACCCAUAACAUGAUAGAGCAGCGAGGCAGAUAAAUCAAUUUGAACUUGAUAUUUUCUCUUGAUCCCUUAAAAUGACUGCUUUAGUGCAUAAAGCAGUAUUAAUGUUUUAAUACCAUUUAUAGUUGGCAACUUAACAUCUUACGCAACUCCACGAUAUCCAUUCAAGCAACUUGCCCAGAAUUUAUUUCGAUAUUCAAACUCUCAUGUAAACACCAAGCAGCUUCAAGCUACCAAACUUGAGGCAUCAAAUUUUCGAAGGUACAUUAGUCUUCAACUCUAUGGUCCCCCCAACCCCACCCCCCACCCAAAACAAUAACUUCCAAAACAUACAACGCUAUUUUAUGCUCUCUCAAAAGCACACAAGAUUUCUUCUUCUUUAUUCAAAUCUCCAUCAAAAUAACAUAUAUUACUGUAUACGGUUAAAAUCGGGCCGACACGAUUUUACUAUUUGAUCGAGAUCAGGGAGUUGAAUCGAGGGUUAGCCUCAUAGUGGAGCAGGUCAAAGUGACGAAAACAAGGUACCGAGUUCGAGAAUCGAAGUGCUUGCCGAGAUCGAGGCCGGCAACGAUCGAGACUACACGGGGCAGACUCUGAGCAAAGCACAAUAACAGGAAAGCGAGAUAUCCAUGACUGGUUGAAGAUCAUGGCGGGAAUCUCAGAACGGAUCAAAUCAAAGACAAGUGUUUAGGCUAAUCAUAGGAUUUACUUCCGUAAUUAAAAUUGUACCAUAGAUAGGAUUCCUCUACUAUAUAAAGAGGGUCCUAAUCAUUUUGUAGACACCUUACACUCUGAGAUAUCAAAGCAAUAUAACACCUUUUCUAUAGUUCAUAUUCUUGUUCAUCAGUUUGUUAUAUUUUAACUGUUCUUGCACAAAUUAGUUCGAGGGUAUUCAACUCGAGGGCUGAAUUCCGUUCAAACACUGGUUUGCUUUAUAAUAUUGUUAAUUUCUAUUAUUACUCUUUGCAUCUAUCAAUUGAUAUUAGGUGAAAUCACAUAUCCUUAAAACCACAUUAUAAGUUUAAUUGUUAUCCAAUUUUAAGGGUAAACAAUUAAUGGGCUACUACUAUUGAGUUAACCUACAGAGCUCAGAUUAUAACUAAAAACAUGGAAAUUCAAGUUAAACCACAAAUCAAUCAAGCUGGCCAAACAUGCCAUACAAAGACUUGAUUUUUUAACAAGACAAUUUAAUCAUACUGGUACUAAGGUGGUUGAUGGGAGCUAGGAAUAAAGAAGAGGGUAGGUUGUCAUUUUGCGUACCAGGUUUACAUACAGCUUCAAACAAUUAAUAAUCAAUAACAUAACAAUAGCCCAUCACCUACCAAAUAACUGUCCUUUUUUAGUUUAUAGAGCAAACCUAAAGUUCCAUCAUCGACCAGAAAAUACACAGAACUACUAAAUCAUGCAUUCAAUUUUUAAGGUUUUUAGCAUUGAAUCCAUUGUAUUUUUAAAGUCAGAGAUUCAUACCUACAAUUUAAUGCAAUUUUAAGGAAAUUUUUACACAUAUAAAAGCACCGGGUUAAGAUGAACCCGGCACCACCAAUACACUGCAUCCGCCUCAGAUCACCAUGCAUCUUUAAUACUCAUCAAUACAGCUCCAACCAACCAUAAGUCCAAUUAAUGACAAAUGACAAAAGAGAGAAAAUCCUGAAAAACAGAAAAUGCCUGAAAACCUAUUUAUUUUCUUUUUUCCCGUGCGCUAUCCCCCCCCCCCCAAAAAAAAACACACACACACACACCAGGAAAACCCAGCUUACCAGAAGGAACAAGAACAGUAGCUGAGAAGAAGGAGAAAAAUAAAUGAGGACAAAGAACAGUAGCUGAGAAGAAAAGUCAAAGCAAAUUGUAGAUCUCUUUUACACAUAACAGGCACCAUUCCAAAAUUCCAUCUUGUUAAGUUUCUUGAUAUACCCAAAACAGACUAUAUGAACCUGAAGUCAAAACCCCAGUUAGUAUCCAACCAUAAACAGUAUCACAUAUUAAAGUAAAGAUAAUAACUUUACCCAUUAUUUUCCUUUUACACGUGCAUAACCAUUAGCAGAAAACUAACCACAUGCAUUCAACAUUCAAUAAGCAGAAGUGGAGAACACAGAGAUAUAUAAUACCCAAAAUAGCAGAUUUUACUGCAAAAACAAAUGGCAAAACCGAAACAAACAGAAAACAUGACUAAUAUAAUAAGAGAAGAAGAAAAGAACAAGUCUACGUGUAUAUGAAAAUAUAUAAUCAUCUCAGAACUUGAAGUAGGAUAAAUAAGUGGGAAAACUUUAAAUUAAAGAAAUGGAGAAAUACCUUUAGAUUAGGAAAAGAAAGGAAAAUAAACACAAGAGUCGCCUGUUGGGAUGAAAUUAAGCAUGUUCCCUUCCUUCAAACUCUCUCUCCCUCUCUCUAUAAAAGAGAUAGUAGUAUUAAAAAAAACAUGCUGCUUCUGCUGUUUAAGAAUUAAAAAGAAAAUUCCAAUAGUAGCUAAGUAAAUACUAAUCUGUUACGUGAACCUAUUUCCUUUUUAGUCCGUUCCAAAAAGAAGGAAUCCUUUCUAAAUUUGGUAACAAUUUAGCUUAAAGUUACAACUCUACCCUUGAUGAGAGGCUUUUAUAACUACACAAAUAUUCUGGGUCCAUUUGGACUUGUUUAGGAUCACAAAUUUUAAAAGUCUUCAUUUUUUUCUUAAACUCCGUGCUCAGUCAAACAAGUUCACGUAAAUUAAAACAAGUUCACGUAAAUUGAAACGAAGGGAAAAGUAGAGUAGCUUGCUAACACAUAAAUGGCAUCAUCAGUUUUCAAAAUUUUAACCAUUUCUGACUUCUUUCUUUUUUUAAAAGAUGAGAGUGUUAAUUGGCUCAGAGGUCUGUACUGUAACACUAAAAUAGUAGUAAUUACUUUAGUCUUUACCCACUGUGUUUAGCCGCCCUUUACUGUUCCACUGUAAUUACUUCUGUCACGCGCUUAAUCUUCAUUUGCAUGACCUAUCUCUUUUUCUCUUUCUUCUUUUUUGGACGUGUGAGGUACACGCUCGUAAAUUGUGGAGUGUGUUUUGUAAUCCGAAUUUUAAAUGGAUUAAUUUCGAAACGGUUAAGGUUAUUGGUUCGUCCAUUGAGCCUAUUUACCAAAAUGCCCCACAUACAAGGCAAUGACUUAUAGUUUAAUAUCGUUUGAUUGUGGUUUAGUUAUAAAUAAUACUACGUAGGAUUAUCGUACAAUACAUGAAUUGUUAUAUAGUGAAUAAAUAAUACAUGUAUUAUUAUUUAAGAUUCAUGCAUGGUCAACCUCUCAUACUUUCAUAUAAUAAUACAUAAAUUAUCGUUUAAUUUAUGCAUGCAUGGGUUAUAUAUACACCAUAUGAUUUUCGGCAUUAAACGCCCCAUAGGUUAUGCAAACUUUAAUAGCGUAAACCAAAAAUAGUAUUAGUUAUAUUGAGAUUAAUUAGUAAUGCAAGAUUUAAUUUAGAAACUUGAACUUUUUAAAUUUAUUUUGUUUAAUAACUUUAUGAAAUGCAUGUACUUACGUGACUCUUCUCUUAUCCAUUUCGAUAGACACAAGGAGAAAUUGUCACCUUUAACAAGUUAACGUAAGAUAGAUUCAUAUAGAUUAUAAUAUUUCGAGUGAAAGGGAACCUUUUCUAUAUUUAUAUUACAGUAAUUAUAGUUUCCUAUGUACUCAUACUUAGGUUCGUAAUGUGUAUGUUUAUUUGGUCGCAACAAAAUGAAUAAAAUAAGAUAACUUGAAGUAGAAUUCAUUUUUUUAAAUAUAGUUAUUAGUUCUCUCUAAAUAAACAUAGGAAUUAGGAACCUAAAGUAUGAGUAUAUAUGAAAUUUGUUUAACCUAUCGAACAUUAAAAAGGAAUUUUCAUCGUAAGAUCUUGUGACACAAGCCAAAAACUCAAUUUCCUAUUUAGAGAUUACCCAUCUAGAGACGAGUCCUAACAUUUUAUCUUAAUUUUAUCCUUUAAAACACUGCACGUCAAUUUAAUUAAAUAUAUCAAUAAUUGAAAAAAUUCCCCCUCAAUAUAUUAAACUUAGUUUUCUAGAGACUGGGAGAAACUUCUGCCUCGCAUUCACACUAGUACUAGUUAAUUAAUAUUCUCUCCAUUUUAAAAAGAUGAACAUAUUUGACCGUGCAUGGAGUUUAAAAUGGAACAAAAGACUUGUGGUUUAAAUAACUCAUAAAUAUUUAUAUGAUCAUAAAUCAUCUCAUUACGGGUAAAAUAAAUAGUUUAAUGUUACAUUAUUUUCAAAUUUAAAAAGGAAUCGCUCUUUCUAAAACAGACUAAAAAGGAAAGAGGUAAAUUUUUUUUUAAAUGAAGGAGUAAUAGUUACCUAAGUCAAAGUAGAGAGAGAACAACAACAACAACAACAACAACAACAACCCAGUAUAAUCCCACUUAGUGGGGUCUGGGGAGGGUAGUGUGUACGCAGAUCUUAUCCCUACCCUAGGGUAGAGAGACUGUUUCCAAAUAGACCCCCGACAUCCUUCCCUCCAAGAACUUCCCACCUUGCUCUUGGGGAGACUCGAACUCACAAUCUCUCGGUUGGAAGUGGGGGUUGCUUACCAUCAGAGCAACCCCUCUUGUCAAAGUAGGGAGAGAAGUAGUUAAGAUUUGGGAUUAAUGCUAGACAAAAAACUAAAAAUAAUAUAAUAAUUAUUCACUCCGUUUCAAUUGAUGUGAUUAGUUUGAUUCGGCAAAGAGCUCAAGAAAUUUCUUUUUUUGAAACUUGCAAUAUUAAAUAUUGUUUAAAAUUUGAGUGAUCAUAAAAGCUUAUCAUUAUAUAUAAAAUAAAAAUUUUAACCUUAAAUUAUAUAAAAGCAUGUCAUUAUUUCUCAAACAAACUACCGUCCCAAAACUUAUUCUUGGCUCCACUUUGAAUUUAAACUUAUUCGAUGGAGGAUGUAAAAGAAGAAAGUUGACAAAGAAGGCCAGUCUGUAUAUCCACGCAAUAGAUUGGUAGGAGUAGUUGUUAAAAGAAUCAAAAUUCUGGGCAGGUUUUUUAACGUAAGAACAGCAACAUAGGGGAAAAUUUUAUUUUGUUUUUCAUGCAACUGACACUAGUUGUAUGAGAUAACUUUUUUAUCGCAUAAUUUUGUGGACCCAGAAAUAUAAGAUUAAGGUCCACAAAUUUGUGAGAUAAAAAGAAGUCUCAUACAACGUGUAAAUUGUACGAGACACAAAAUAAAACUUCUAAGGCAUCGGAAAUCCGGUGAUCUUUUUUGGCGGUUUGAGGUGACUAAACGACGACAAAAUAAGGACAAAUGUAAUCCAAAUCCCACUGUUUGUCGUUUUUGGCAAGUAAACCUCACUUUAAACCAAUUAAAUGGAAGUGGAGUUAAUUGUUAGGCAUUUAACAGUUGGGCAUAGUAAAUAUGGGCUACACGAUUUUUUUUUCUUUAUUUCUCCCCUAAGGUACAUUACCCACGUUAAAGUCUGACUAAAGUGUUUUAACGCUCGAACCCAAAAUUUCUAAUUAAAUAUAAAGAGUACUUACCGCCAGGGGCGGACCCAAGUGGUGAGAAGUGAGUUCAACUAAACCCGCUUCGUCAAAAAAUAAUACUAUGUAUAUGUAUAAAUUAUGGCUAAAGCAGGGUAAAUUUUGUAUAGAAAUUAUUUUUGAACUCGCUUAUACAACUUAUGUUAGUUAUGGACUUCUCUGACUGAACCCACUUGCACAAAAUCCUGGGUCCGUCACCGCUUACCACUUCAUCAUAACACUUGUUGGUAAGGCAUGACGAUUCAAACAAAAUAAAAAGAUCUACUUGCAAAUUAAUGAAAUCCAUUACAUAUGUCUUUCUUAAUAACGGACUAAACCAACGUGAAAUGAAUUACUCGUUAAAAGGUUAAUAUUUGAUUAAAUUUGUUGAAGUCGAGUUCUUACAGUUACUUGGGGUCCGAUUCAGAGUUGAAGAGAUUUGCGGCAACAGAAAGCAACUUUCCGAUUAGUUGUAUUAUCUGAGAAAUUAACACAUAAUUUAGCAUUUUUAAAGAUACAAGAAACAAUUUUGUGACUUUACUUGGCAUUUUUAGUGAUACAAGAAAUAAUUUUGUGACUUUACUAAUAUAACGGAUAAAAUUAGAUUAUAUGUAAGAAAUUAACCCUUUUUCCAUAUGUACUUCAAACGCAUUUUUUAAAGACAGUAACUGACUAGGGAACUAGAAGGGAUCAAAGUUGAUUGCACAAAAGUAAAUAAAGGUAUUUUCGGCCAUCAUCAGUUUUAUCUACCCAACUUGAAUAGAAAAAAAGAUAAAUUGACUGAUUACAUUCUUGAUACAUAAACCAUAUAAUAGGACAAGAUAAAUACUUCCCUAUCUAAAAGCAAAUCAACCAGUUCUUUGCUGCUUUCGAAUUAGUAUGUGCACUAAGCUAUGAAGGAUAUAAUUAUGACAUAAUUACAGAAAAAAUCAAUGAAUGUCCAAAAUUAAUAGGAACAUGAAGUUAUGCAAACCUAAUGGCAGCCAAACUAAAGCAUAGUGAAAAUGGGUGUAAACAAGCAUGCUUCUUGGAAAAUUUACAGUUCUUCGACACUGAAGUAAGCAGCUUCAGGUUUCCCGGCUCUUGUUCAGAUAAAACCGAUGUUUCAGCAGGGAGACGAGAAGCCAGUUGUAUUGCUUAGCACAAGAAGCUCCCCAAAGUAAUUGGUUACGCGCACAUGAAAUUCUGCGUACAAAAGCAGCAUCCUAAGUUGUAUGGAACUACUACCAAUAUAGUAUAGCAAAUAACUAUCUCAGCUGACAUCGAUUCAUUCAGUUAAGAAAAUGAAGCCUUCAUGCACCUAAUAUAGAAUACUUCUAAGCUACAAAAGUUGAAGUGCAUGAUUUUCAUGCAACCUAUAACCAGUGAAAGUCCAAAAACCUAUUGAUCUAUUCUUUUACCUUUUCUAAUCAUAACAACGAAAGAAGGAACUUGAAACCAUAUAGCAUCAGUCAUAUUGUAAAAAAGACAUGGCAUAAAUCUCACCAUUGAAAUGUUAAAGCUUUAGUUUAAUCCUUUCAGACCACUUGAAGAUAUCCGAGUACACUUGAUCUCCUCCCAAGUCUUCUCCAGUAGCCCCAGCAGCUAUUCUGAUGAUAUCUUCAAUUAGUGCAAAAUUUCCCAUUAUAUCGACGUGAGCACCACUUUGCGUUCCCCUGCCUUCUAAAAGAGUAGCUGGAGGGGCGUGAUUAUACUCUCUUAUAAAUGUAUGGAUGCCUGAUGGAUUGAAUCGGGUCUUUCCUCUCCAUCCUUUCGCACACAUGUAACCUGCACUUAAAAUAGGUACAGUUUCAUCCCCAUCGGUAUGAAAUACACCGCCUUUCAAGCAAGGACUUUCAUUUCCACCCUCAGCUGAAGAAUCUAUCUGGAAAGGAAUAUAGCAAUCUCCAGCAGGACUAAGUUUGUAUACAUAUGCUCUUUCAGUUGGAAUUCCAACUCCAUACAUUGAGAAGAUUUCCAUCCCUGGUGCAUUGGGCAAUCUGUAAAUGGAACAUAAGACUGAGAACUAGCUAUAAAUAUGCCAAAUAGAUUGCUGUAACAUACAAUGAACCAACUCAAGAGAGAUGGAAGAGCGUCUUUUGCAACAUGUUCUAUGAACUACUACUUGCAAACACAGAAGCAAGCAUUAAUUGCCAAACUGGAACUUUGGGACGGAACCCGAUAGUGAAAGUUGACAAGAUGGAAUCAUAUUUGCAAAAGAAUGUUUGCAGCCUCUAGAACCCUGAAAAUAUUUCACCUUUAUAUCUACGUUAUACAACAAAAAUUGGUGAACCAAAAGAGGUCUGAAUCUCAGUUGUGUCCGUAAUAUAUUUGCAUACUCUAUAGAUGGGCUUCAAGUCAAGAAGAUAAAGAUCGGAGCUGGCCUAAGAGCACGGACAUAUCAGAUCAAAGAAUAAGUCUACAGAACAAUUUAGAACCUUACUUUGUUUCCAGGGGAUUUGACCAAUAUUUGUAGUGUUCAUAUUUUUUGUCAUUCAGAUCAUCAGCAAUUCCAUAUGAAAAAUGAGCACUACCACGCUUCAUCAGCUUUGGUGCAACAAAAUGAAGAAGAUCCAAAACAGAUCCAGCUGUAUAAGCUUUGUAAUCUGCCACAGCUUUGACACCUCCAAUACCCAUAUCAUGGUACUCAGUCCACACAUCACGACAAGUUGAAUUAGCAUGACUUUUACCUUUGAUAGCAUCCUGGAGAGAACCGAACAAUGAACAGGGCCAGUUAAAACUUAUUUUCUUAUUUCUAAGGAAACUUAAAACUGGAAAAGCAGAAAUGACAGUCAGAAUAGUUUGCUGAUAACCACUGCAUAUGGAAGUUUAAACAAACUAGUGUAGAGCACAUCUGUCUAUUAGAGACAAUCUCUCUAUCUUCACUAAGUAGGGGUAAGGUCUGCGUACACACUACCUUCCCCAGACCCCACAUGUGGGAAUAUACUGGGUAUGUUGUUGUUGUAGUGUAGAGCACAUCUGAAACAUGAUAAAAUCAAUUCGUGGAUAGUUGAAUACAUCAAAUUUGGGAUGAAAUAACUGUUACUUCAUGGCAAUCUGCAAUACCACGUGUAACUCUCGACUCUUUAGGAUGCGUUAUACAUGUCAAAACUACUUCACCCAGCAACAGGAUUAGCCAAAGAAAUAUCACAAGUUUCCUGAUAUGCACAGUGACAGUAGAUAGUCUUAACGAACGAAGAAUUUGCAGUGUACUACUGUACUUAACAGCAUAGUUAAUCUAACUAAUGACUGCAUAAGUGCUUAUGUUUUUUAAAAAGCAGAUCAAACGACCAAUUUCGCAUUAUGACCUGUCUUUAAAGACAGUUACAGAAAAAGAAAACAUCAAAUGAAAGAUCCACCUAUGAGAGUACUUGCACGUUUUCAACAUAAUAAAAGUUACAAAAUAUCUUUCGACUCCAAAAGCUUGAUAGAAUCACAGACCUCAGCAGCCAGUUCAUAAUUGAAACUACACUACAUAAAUAUGAAACUAGAAUCACCAAUAGACAUUCCAACUAGAGGCUUAUGUGAAAGGAAGAUUUUCUGUUAUCACUCAAUUUGUGUCUCAUAUCACCACGCCUUUCCCAUCCUCUACAUUAGAAGAUAGAGCGAAUACUGCAUAUGGAAAACUGACACACGAAAAAGAUAAAUGUAUAUUCCAACUAGAGGCUUAUAUGAAAGAGAAGAUUUUCUGUUCUUGCUCAAUUUGUGUCUCAUAUCACCACGCCUUCCCAUGUCUACAUUAGAAGAUGGAGUGAAGGCUACAUAUGCACUGCAUAUGGAAAACUGACACACGAAAAAGAUAAAUGUAUAUUUCACUCGUUUGUGACAGCCUGGUAGGUACUUUUUAGUCAGCAUAUGAAAAUUUAUGUCUUAGCAUCUGAUCCUACUGGUAGCUAAUGGGUUAUCAUGUUAUUUUGGAGCAUGAUAGUUUAAAUAGUAUUGUAUUGGCAAUAUAAAUCAUUGACAGUAGUUAGUGAAAAUUUAAAAUUCAAGAACAUUACUCUGAAGUCAAUCCUCUCGAUCUCUGAUGAGUGUAAAUCAGCUACAUGCUUCCCAAAUGAUAUUAUUCUUCCAUACUUCACACGAGUAGCAUUAACCGACUUUCUUCCCCCAUCACUCUUUGCCAUCUGGGUGCUGUUGUUCUUCGGCUUCUUUUCGUUACACUCAUAGCCUUCUUCUGGGGACCAAUCCAGCCCACCCCAGAUAGUGUCUCCGCCUUUUGGUAUCAUUGACAUUGUUGAAUCCCAUGUACGAGUCAUUCUCAUUACAUGCUGUAAAGUUUGAAAAUUGAACAUUUCACUUUCCAAAAAACUUGGGGCCAUAGACCUGCAGAAGGGGCAAAUUCUACUUCAGCCCAGGAAUACCUCUUGCAGAUAAACAAAAGACCAGAAACUCCAAGUUAGGUGGCACAUGAAAUAAACUACUUCUGCAUGCAUGUGAACAGUACAUUCCCUUCACAAGAGUAUGCUAAUACACACAUUACAGGAGAUGAACUGAUCGAGAAAAAGGCAUCAGAAUAGUUUCAUAGAGGAAAUUAACUAGUUGUUUUUAAAGGGUACAAAAAGAUUAACUCUUAUUUUAUCUGUACUUUUAACACUAGGAGCAUUAUUGUGGUACAUCUAACUCUUAUCGGGCGAAGUCAUGAUAUACAACCUCAGUUAUUCAGAGGCAACUAUCAAUAAGAAGCAAUAGGAACGGAAGGCUGAAAACAGAGUCUAAAAUUGAUUUAGUAUCUUUGUACUUAAUGGAGCACAGAUUCAAUUUCCAUCUCUCUCCAUUUAAAACUGUAGAAUGCAAAAGAAAAAGCAAAGAAUUUAUUCGUUCAAAUCUAACAGAUGCAAUAGCACAUUGUGAAAGACCAAUAACAUUCUCUUUUAUGAAGCUAUGACAGAAGACAACCACAGAAAUGCUUAAUCAGAUGAAGGAAGAGUUGAGAGAGAAACUAGUAGCACGAGGAAAAACCUAAUAAGAAAAACAGAGGUUGAAGUGAUCUUUUGGCACGGUAUCGUUUGUAGACCAUUUUAGACAUCUGAAGAUAUUGCCAUAUAUUACCGUAUAACAAAGCAAAGAGGCCUGCACAGAAAUGCUCCCUUGAACUACAUCAUAUGACUUUUAUUCGUAGGUAAAAGUUUUACCUGAUUGCAGGUACAACAUUAUCACCAACAGGGAAAGACAAAGAUCCUUUCUGAACCAAAAAUAUAAGAUAAGCCACUUUACUAGAAAGGGAGGAAAGGAGCCAAAACUACAAGGAUCUUUGGCGUUGGGAACUUGUUCAUUAUAUGAGAAUGCAAGUUAUAAACAAUUUAUCAUACAAAGAACAUCAUCAAAUUACAUACAACUAUUAGACAUCUCACAAGAAGAAAGACAAAGGAGCAGUACAUAACAUAUUUUAAUAAAAACAAGACUUCAUUUUUCUUUAUCAGCAAAAGUCAGACGAUUCAUUUAAGAGAAAGAAACCUGGCAGCAGCAAUAUCCUUGGCUUCAGCUGAGAAUAAUCCUGAGACUGCUUUUGGGACACCCAAAAAGGGGCCCCCAAUGUUCAUUACGGCUUUUAUAUGUUUAGCACACCAAUCAGAUCCACCUCCUCCACCCAUUGGAGACGGUGCCUCCACCCAUUUCAUGAAAUGCAAGAAGUAUAAAACACCCAUUGAGUGCGGAAUUAUAACCACCUUCUUCCCACCACUCGAAGCCACCAUGAGUUCUAUGUUACUUUUAAUCCUGCUUAGAGUUUGAUCUCGCACCUGAAGAUUUUGAAUAAAAAGAUGUGUUAUAAGAUUGCAAGGGUAGUUGCUAGUUGGGCUGAUGGACAUAUCUCGUAAUUCAGAACUGAUGUUGGAAGGAAACAUCCUCCAGCAAAUUUUACAUUAGAACAACAACGAAAAACGCACAUAUGUUGCAGUCGGAGUCACAGUACCUCAGUGUUCUGGAAUGAGAUUCUCCAAUCAUAGGCAGCCAUAUACAUGUUCUUCUCCUCAUAUCCGAUGCGAGCCAAAUUGGCAAUUAAAACGGCCCAAACGAAAUAACCUGGAGCAAAGUAAUCAGCUGCGACAAGUCCAGAGACAGGUCUAAUCCUUAUACCAGAAGGAUCUAAUCCAGUUUCAUUAUCAAGUGACAUAUGCUCCACCCAGCAAAGAGGUCUGCAUUUUAUUGGACAAAAGGAGAGCUUUUUGUUAUGUAUUGUAAGCAAAAAUUCAGAAGCAGAAGAUUCAGUAAUAUCUCAAUUGAUCUUCAUCGACUAUUAUGGUUCCAACACUGGAGAAAUUUAAAGCCUGACCAAUAAUUAGUCAGUUGACGUUAGAUAACCCUGAUUGGUUCACUCUAAAGCAAAUUUCACUUCCAAUCGACCAAACUAAGCAGUGAAAUCACACUUUUUCAUUAGCAAGACAAACAAAAGAAAAGAUUUAAAGAAAAUAAGGAUGCUUUAUUUCCAAACUAUGAAUUACAAACUUGAGAACCUAACCACAUACCUACUUUAUUUGCCUCAUUAGCCUACUCCACCUAAAGGCAUUUGUUUGAAAUUUUCCAAAAAACAGAGUUUGCAAAAACUGUUCAGAAAGCUUAAAUGACUAAGUUUGCAGAGUCUGUUUUAGAUAAUUUCCGAACAAAUGCCAUAUCUCCCACCAAUCCAAUAUCCACUUCUUCUUCUUCUUUUUUUUUCUUUUUUUUUUUUUUUUGGUUGUUUUUGAGUGAAAACUGAACAAAAAAGGUAAAGGAGACAGUGAAUACUAAUAGCCAACAGUAGUUGUUAACUUCACAAGAAACUGUCAAAAAAAAUACUAUUACUAGUAAAGAAUGAAUCUUUUAGGCUGGUAAAUAGCCAAUUUCAUGAUAAAUCCUCACAUUUCAGUAAAGAAUAAUUCUUUUCAGCUUUCAGAACCUUUCAAUUAACGACUAAGAACACAUUUCUCACGUAAUUUCCCUGAAUAACAUCAAAAGAUCCUUUUCACUUACCAUAUUUUGAUGCACAAAUAAUCCACUCUGUAGUGUAACCAAACUCCACAACAUCAUAAAAAAGCUAAAGCUAAAGCACACAAAUUGGAAUUACUAAAAAAAGAAAUAAAAGCUAAAGUAAGUACCUUUUGUACAAUUCACCAAAAGUACCACCCCAAAGCCUCUUCCUAAACAAGCCUUCAGCACAUUGAUGUCCUUCCCACAACUCAAGUCCACCAGUCACAAUUCCCGGCACGAAUACAACCGGAUGUUUAGCUCUUAACCCUUCUUUAGCCAAUUUAACUCCCGGCGGGUCCGGUAACGGCCCCGUUAUCGCCUCCGUUACAUACUGCGGGAACGACGCCGGCAUUGCGUUGUAAAGGAACAAUAAUAACCACCAUAUCGAACAUAUACAACCUAUAAACCAACAACAUCCGUCAACACAUCCCCAUCUCCUCCUUCUCCUUAACCUCCUCGAACCUAAAUUAUUCUCCUUAUUCUUAUCCUUAAAUUCUUCGAACUCAGGCUCUGAAUCCGAGGUUUUUUUGGGCUCUGUACCCUUCCUACGCCUUAGAAUCGACAUGUAUGUAUUUUUUGCUAUAAAUACACGUAACAGGUACAGCUGAAUUAAUGAAUACGAAUAUUCACUAUUUCAGAUGUCUAAUUAACUAAUUCAUGAACUGAAUUUAUGUAAUUCGCGGUUAAUGACUGAGAAAGUGAAAGCUGCAGUUAACAGCAGCUUGAGUAACAGCUCAUUUAUUCACCUCUCAGCUAAUCAAAUCUGAAAAACUCAAACCCUAGGGCCUAGCUCUGCAAAACAUAUAUAGUCAUAUACAUACAAAUACACAUGUAUGUAUAAUGUCAGAGCAAAUAAUAUUAUUAAGAAAAACACAGUUUCUAUAAAUACAAAAAGAAGAAGAAAAAUACAGAUUUGUAUUUCAUUCAAAAUAGUGUUUUGUAUGUAUUGUGUAUAUAUAGGUGGCGGAUGAGGUGGGUGGGGGUGGGGGGGGAGUGAUCGGAGCAGGAAUCCGGGGAGGGGAUGGAAGCGGAGAAAACUAUAGAAGGUGGAAGAGAGAUGUGAGGUGGGGUCCGUGAGUGACACGUGGAGAUUCUUAGGAGCUUCGUGAUGUACUUUGUGAUUGAUUAUCAGCCGUUGAUUGAAUCGGUGAGGUCAAUUUAAGGUUAUUUGACGGUGGGGAUAUGGUUUUUAAUUAUGGGAGAAUGGCAAGAGGGGGGAACACGUUAAUUAAUGAAAUUGGAUAUAUAAUUUUACUACUACUAGUAGACUAGUACCCGUCCGUUCCAGUUUACGUAAACUUAUUUUUUUUUAGUCCGUUCUAAAAAGAAUGAUACAUUUCUAAAUUUGGAAACAAUUUAGCUUAAACUUACAAUUCUACCCUUAAUGAGAAGCUUUUAUAAUCACACAAAUACUCUGGGUCCCUUUUUAACUUGUUUAAGACUACAAAUUCCAAAAGUCUUCAUUUUUUCUUAAAUUCCGCGCCUAGUCAAACAGAUUCACAUAAAUUGGAACAGAGGGAGUAGUAUCUUUUUUUCUUCAUUCGUUUAUUAUCUAUAACAAUAAAAAUAAAAAAAUAUUUUUGAUGGAUGACGUUUUAAAUAUUUGUGUAAGGAAGAUAUGGAGCACAAUCUCUAUGACUAUGGAAAGAUUGGAACUUUGUGCUUUAUUAAAAAAAAAAAAGAAGUCCACUGCAUAAGGUAUUUUGCGAUCGCUUAGGGUUCGAGGAAGGCCGCAUUCCAAGGAGUACGAUGUAGACAUCGUACUCUAAUGAUGCAAAUAUUAGUGAUUGUUUUUACGAUUCGAACCAUAUCACAUGAGUUCGGAGAAAGACAGUAUCACAAGGGGUAUGAUAUGGACAUCCUACCCUAAUAAUGCAAGCAUUAAUGACUAUUUUCACAUAUCGAACUGCAUCUUAAGAAAUGUGAUAUAGACAACCUACCUUAAUGAUGCAUCUAUUACUGACUACUUGAACGACUUGAACUCGUAACUUAUAAGCCAUAUUGAGGCAAUUUUACCGUUAAUCUAAGGUUAUCUUCAACUCUAUGCUAAAAUAGUUUAAAUUAAAAUAAUAAUCUUUUGACUAUGAUAUUGAAUUUGUUUUAAUUAUUUAUUUUAUUAGUGCAACGAAUUACUUUUUUCUUAUACAGCUAAUCAAAUACUAUUAUAUUUUUCUAUACAAAAGCUUAUGGUUAGAUUAAUUACUCCAAACCACGACCACACACCCUAGUUUUUCUUUAGUUUUAAUGUUUUUUUGGUUGAAAGCUUGGAUUUGUGUGGAAAUGGGUUUAGAGGAGUGACGUUUGAUUUGUCAAUUUGUUUAAUAUGGUUGGCUUGGAAAUUUGGAAUCUUUGUAUGAGUUCCAGGCUUCCAGCCAAAAGCGGUUGUGGGCCUUGCCACUUUCCACUUGGACUUUUCUGCCUUCCUUCCUCAAUAUCAUUGUUGUUAUUUAUAGUUGUAUAUAACUAAGUAGAAAUAAUGUAUGAAAAUUAUAGAUAAGUUGUAUAAUAUAUAAUUAAUUGUAUGAUUAUUUAAUAUAAUUAUAUGUUAAUGAUUCAUACAUAGUAAAAAUAAAUUUUAUACAACUAAUUAUAUAUUAUACAAUUUAUCUAUAAUUUUCAGCUACUAGUUUAAGUUGCGGACUUUGCCAAAACUCAACACUAAUUUUGAAUCUCUGUAUGCUAUUGUAGAUUGAAUUGAGUUGUUUGAAGAAUAUCUUGGAAUGUAUUAAGGACUCAAAGGAAUUAAGGUAUGUUAAGGCAUUUACUUCUUUCUUUUUUGGCAUGAUCUAAAGUGAAAUGAAUAUGCUAUUUUAUAACGGAUCUACUACUAGCAACUAAGGUUGUCCAUAUUGUUCUUUCCUUAUAAAAUUAUUCUAAGCAAGUGUGUAUGAUCCUUGAAUCCUACUGAGGUUCAUAUUGAGGGUAUGGAUGUCCAUAAUGUUAAUCUAAGGUGCAACGACAUUAGGUCACUCCGAAAGUUUUAGAACGUGAUUCCAUGACUCUAGCAUGCAUUAUAUAUAGUAUCUAUUUUACUCUACCGAGCCACACUAUAGUCGGCCGGGUACGACAUCUAUUUUGCAACCACUGAUCACUUGGGUUUACCGAGCUCCACAUGGUCGGGUACAAUUCUACUGAGCCUUAUGAUGGCCGGGUACAUCAUAGAAAUCCAGCAACAUAUAAAUAUCAAUAAAAAGACACCAUAUAGCGACAACAAGUCACAACUACUUCACGACGAGCAGCAAGUUCCGAUUGGAAUCUAUAUACCCCAUAUCACCCCUUAUAGACUUCUUAGUUCACCCUAACAGUAUAAUUAACAUUCUAAUAAAGUCAUUAAUCAAUGAUUCCAGCCUUAAACCAUAUAUUUAUAACAACAAAAAUAAUCCACGACAUUAUUUUUACUUAAUUAUAUACAACUACAAUAUCAUACAACUUAAAUAUAAUUUUUAUACAAUGUUGUUCAACUUUCAUACAAUAGUUAAAUAAAUAAAAUAAAAAUAUACAAACACCAGAAUACAAUUAUUCUACAAUUUUACUAUAAUUUCUACAGUAUAAUGUAUGUCAUGUCUUCUUCUUAUUCUUUGAGAUUCAAUCUGAAAUUUAGUCAAAAUCAAGUCAAUCUUCACCAAAAUCCCUCAAAAUUGAGAUAUAAACUUCAAACCAUAUUCCUAAUUAUUUGCAACAACACCCAAUCCAANNNNNNNNNNNNNNNNNNNNNNNNNNNNNNNNNNNNNNNNNNNNNNNNNNNNNNNNNNNNNNNNNNNNNNNNNNNNNNNNNNNNNNNNNNNNNNNNNNNNNNNNNNNNNNNNNNNNNNNNNNNNNNNNNNNNNNNNNNNNNNNNNNNNNNNNNNNNNNNNNNNNNNNNNNNNNNNNNNNNNNNNNNNNNNNNNNNNNNNNNNNNNNNNNNNNNNNNNNNNNNNNNNNNNNNNNNNNNNNNNNNNNNNNNNNNNNNNNNNNNNNNNNNNNNNNNNNNNNNNNNNNNNNNNNNNNNNNNNNNNNNNNNNNNNNNNNNNNNNNNNNNNNNNNNNNNNNNNNNNNNNNNNNNNNNNNNNNNNNNNNNNNNNNNNNNNNNNNNNNNNNNNNNNNNNNNNNNNNNNNNNNNNNNNNNNNNNNNNNNNNNNNNNNNNNNNNNNNNNNNNNNNNNNNNNNNNNNNNNNNNNNNNNNNNNNNNNNNNNNNNNNNNNNNNNNNNNNNNNNNNNNNNNNNNNNNNNAUAUAUACACUUUGGAUGUUGAAUCCUUUUUAACUUUUUUUUGCAUGUUAAUUCUUCUUCUUCUUUUGAAUUUUUUUUUAGUGAAAAUCCCACUUCCAUCACUAUCUGUAACGUGCCGAAGCGUUAACCAAUUGCAAGAUAUAUCUUUUUCUUUUCUUAUUUCCUAGAAGAAGAAAAAAAGACUUGUUAUUUUGUACUAAUUGGCAUUUCGAAAUGUCUAAGUGUACACUUUUUCUGGUACAACUUUUCCAGAAGAGACUUCUGAAUUCUGAUGCUACUAGAAUUAUGUUAUCCUUUCCAACUUGGAAUUUAUUCUCUAAUUAAUUUGCUUUCCAAUGGCAAAAGCUGCUUGAAAAAGUAGAGUGGCAUAUCCCUCAUCUCACUCUUUUUUCUAUUUAUGAUCCUAAAUAGAAAAAAGAGACGUACCAUACGACUAUCAGUCAUGUCAUCUGUUUCAUUGGCAAGGUGCUCAAAGUGGCUCUGAAAAUUUGAAACGGUGCUGGAUUGUCACCACGAAACCGCCCUAUUUCCACCAUAGCUUGUUUGUGGUGAGGAGUCUGCGCUGCCGGAGUUUGGUUAUCGUGUGGACCUCUCCCCUACCAAUGGUGAGUGACUUCCAUCGUUGGAUCUCGAGGUUGAUUCAUCACCUCCCGUAACAGUGAACGGAUAUCAGCAAGGAUCGAAUCCUUCACCCCUUGAACUGAUUCCUCCGCGAGAGACUUGAGUUUUUGGUCGUCCAUUGAAGACCUCUGGAUGAAAGCACCAAUGUAACAAACUUAAUUAAAUAAAACAGUAAUCAAUUCCACCCAAACUUGUAUUGAUAAGUUGUAACAAGAAUUACAAGUAAUUGCUCUUUUGAAGUUCCAAACAAACUUACAAAGGAAUACUAAAAGUAACAGUAGCUAUAGAUAAGAGAAUUAGAGGGAGAGGAGGAACUCAGAAGGAGGAGAAGAGAACAAAAUCAUCCAUAACAAAUUGUCUGCUCGCAACAACCCCACUCAUGAUGCUUUAUACUACUGCUUAGCUUAUUUUACCCUUCUUCACGUGAUCUUCCUUCUUUUCAAAUGUAAUCAGCAAGUCUUUUAGGAGGAAUGACCUUUCUAGAAGUCCUCCUCCGUGGCAGUUAGGGGUAUUCAUGGUUCGGUUUGGAUCGGUUUUUCCCUAAAAAGAAAUUAAACCAAGUAAGUCGGUUUUUCAAAUAUUAGAACCAAACUAAACCAAUUAAGUUGGUUUUUUCUCGAUUCGGUUUAUGUCGGUUUUUUAGUUUUUUUGAUUAUUUGUCGGUUUUUUCUUAAAUAUAAGACAUACACUACCAAACACACAUUUCGGCGACCACAUUUUCAAUGUAACACUAUCAAAUCAAUUGCCCUUUGAGAAAUCUAUUAUUUACCAAGAUAUAUUGAUGAUACUUGAAUCAAAUAGUGAUGAAUAAUUUAAGGACUCAAUUAAAAAUAUAUUAUUUUUAACAUGAUAUAGAUUCUUACACUAAACAAAAGAAAACUAUCAAUUAAACUAGAAUGUAAACGUAAAGAACUGUACUAAAAGUGCAAACGAUUAAUAUUUAGUAUAAAAUUUUUAAAAUUUUGUAUAAAAGUAUACAUAUAUAUAGGUGUAAUAAUAAAUUUUAAAAUAGCUACUCCUAUAUUCGGUUUGGUUCGAUUUUUUUUAAUUAAAACCAAAACCAAACCAAAUUUGAUCGGUUUUUAAAGUGCAAAACCAAACCAAAAAGUAUCAGUUUGAUUUGGUUUUCGGUUUGGUUCGGAUUUUCAGAAUUUUAUGAACAUCCCUAGAGGCAGUCCCAUGUGCUCAUCUUGCGUGGUAACCCAGUCAGCUCUAUUCUCAUUCACAACAUUACUCCCUCCCUAAAAUGCAACCUUGCCCUCAAGGUUGGAGUCAGUUGGAUCAUCAAAGGCAUUGGAAUCACCAAGUUGCAGAGGAGUCACCUGCUGGUCUGGAGUACCAACACAACGCUUCAACAUACAAAUAUGGAAGACAAAUUGAAUCCUUGCAGAUUCAGGAAGUUCUACACGAUAUACAAUGCUACUAAUGCGUUUCAACACCUGAUAGGGUCCGAAAUAACGCCUCCCCAACUUAUGGUCUCGCUGCAAGCGUAAAGUUGAUUGUCGGAAGGGUUUAAGUUUGACAUAUACCCAAUCACCCACUUCAAAAGAAGUAUCAAUUCUAGACUUGUCAGCAAACAACUUCAUACGAUUCUGGGCUUUUAAUAAAUUGUGCUUGAGGAUGUGCAGCACCUCAUCCCUCUGUAGGAGAUAGGACUCCACCAACUCACUUGCUGCGCUUACCAAAAUGUAUCGAGCUACAGUAGGUGGUUCACGACCAUAAAGAGUCUGAAAGGGGGUCACACCAGCUAAAGUUUGAAAAGAAGUAUUGUACCAAAAUUCUGCCCAUGGUAACAUCGCGACCCAUUGGGAAGGUACCUCGACGACGUAGCAACACAAAUAUUGCUCUACACAUUUGUUAAGGGCCUCAAGUCACGCGAAAAUUACUUAUAGGUCACGCGAAAAUUACUUUGUCGUUGCUCCAAAGCUCCCAUUUCCUUCUUGAAAAACAAGAAGGAAAUGUUAAUUAGUGCGUCUUGCAUUUCAGUUUUUCAGUUCAAUAUUUUAGGAAAAAAAUGUUCUAAAUGUUCUGAGGUUAAGAUUUUUAGUUUAAAAUUUCAGGACAAAAUAAAUACUGACUAAUCUCUAAAUAGCAUCCCUUAGAAUGGUUAUUUGUGCACUUGCCUCUAGAUUUUACUGUAAAAAUUACAAGGGGCGCCCUAUUUGGUCGUCCCCAUUUAACCUAUACCUUAAUUUUUACAACUUCAGGCGCCUCUUAUGGCUUGGUAUAACGUUGUGUUUUUUCAGGUACCCGUUAUGAUACUAGUUUGAGGAAGCAGAUUAACAAGAUGGAGGUCAGUCAGCACAACAAGUAUUUCUGUGAGUUAUGUGGAAAGGUACAACUUUGCUUAAAUGUUAUUUGAUAGUUUUCUGGACCGUGUAUUCAUAGUUGCAUUGAUAAUAAUGUUAAUUAUAUUCUGGCAUUAUAGUACGUUGUGAAGAGGAAGGCUGUUGGUAUUUGGGGUUGCAAAGAUUGUGGCAAAGUCAAACCAGGGGGUGCCUACACAUUGAAGUAAUUUUUAACAUGCUGAAUUUCAGCAAAUAUAGAACAAAAUUUCAGCUAGUAGAAUGUUUAAGUUUAACAAUUACAAACAAAAACUUCAGCCAACACUAAGUUUACGCGAAAAACUUCAGCUAAAACAUGCUGAAGUUCAGCAAAUAGAGAACAAAACUUCAGCUAGUACGACUAUAGGACAAAAACUUCAGCUUAUUUAGUGCUGAAGUUUUUACAAAUGAACUAAAUAACUUCAGCAUCUUCUGCUGAAAUUUUUGAAAAAGCUUUACGACAAAACUUCAGCUAAAUAUGCUGAAGUUCAACAAAUAGAGAACAAAACUUCAGCUAAUAGAAUGCUUAAGUUCAUCAAUUACAAACAACUUCAGGCCCGUCUACUAGAAUGCUGAAGUUUGCGUGAUUGACUUUGCUACUUCAAGUCCGUAUGCUUGAAGUUUAUGUUGCAAAGCGGGUAUAAGUUAAAACGUGAUCCAAAAAAUGGGUAUAAAUUAGGGGUGGGCGUUCGGUAUUUCGGUUCGGUAUGUAUGAAUUUCGGUUCGGUAUUUCGGUAUUCGGUUUAUCAAUUGUAUAUACCAAAUACCGUACCAAAAUAUUUCGGUACGGUUCGGUAUUUACUAUUUUGGUUCGGUACGGUUUCGGUUUAACAAUCAAUGAAUAUUGAAUAAUCAAUGCUAAAUGCUAACGCCUAACAGUGCACAACUGCAGUCUGCAUAUGCAGUCAUGCACAAUUGGAACUUGGAAGAGGAAUCACAAAUGCAAUUUUUUCAGUCAAUGUUUGCACUUUGCACAACUGCACAAUGUGCACAAGUUUGAAAACACUGAAAAGCCUGCACAAUGCACAUUGAAAACACUGAAAAAUUUGCACAAAUUUGGAAGAGGAAGCACAAAUUUGCAAGUUUGCAUCUGCAGACAACAACUUCACAAUCUGGCAACUGCAGAUGCACACUUGCACGCCAGAUCUGGCAAUCAACUUAUUAGUUAACACUUAACACUCACAGUGCAAUAAAAACACAGUCCAAACUUAAACACAUGGCAGCUGAACACUUAAGCUGUUAAACAGUUAAUUAAACUGCAGAUGCUAACUUGCACAACUGGCAACUGCAGUCUGCAGAUGCUAAACACAUUAACCCAGUGCAAUAAAAACAAUCCAACAAAUGCAGUGUUUGCACAAUCGAAAUUUUAAAGUGUUUGCACUUUGCACAAUAUGCACAACUGCACAUGGCUCAUGGCUGAAAGCCUGAAACAAGAAAGCAUAUCAUUCUGAUUUCUGCAGACAACAAUUUCACAAUCUGGCAAGUGCAGAUGCAAACUGCAGUCUGCAGAUAAAUUGAACACUUAAAACUGUAUUCCCGAUAAAUGGUAGCUGAACACUUAAAACUGUUAAACAGUUAAACUGCAGAAACCAGAAAGAAUAGGCACAACUGCAGUCUGCAAAUGCUAAACUGCAGUCCAAACUACAGUCUGUAGACAACAAACUUGCGAACUUCUCCGUUAUCUUCUUUCACCACAAAGUAUUCCCAAAUAUCGGAGCGUUGAGCAGUAGCACGGGGCAUGAUUGCACUUGAACUUGAACCUAAAAAAAUAUAAAUCAUAUGUUAGAAUAUUAUUGUUUGAUGAUAAUAAAACAAAACUACAAACUAUUAAGUAUAUCAUUAUCACCAAACAAAUAGAGUAUUAAAAUAACCCCUCAAGAUGCAAGUUGCAACUAUACAUCAAACAAUGCUAGUAGUGCUUCCAUUAUUUUCCAUAUCUAAAGAUAAUACGACCAAAUAUGUCAUACAAAUGAAAAGGCAUGAUAUAUUAUUUUGAGUUAAAAUACAAACAAAAUAUUAAAGCUUACCAAGCUCGAGUUCCUCAAGAUACUUCAAGUCUUCUUCAACACUAAUAAGAUUCUUCUCUUCUCUAAUCCAAUCUUGAACACAAAUAAGAGAUUGUACACAUUUAGUAGUCAAUGAACUCCUAAAUGAAUCAAGAAUACGGCCACCAGUGCUAAACGCGCAUUCCGACGCCACACUAGAAAUUGGAAUUGCCAACACAUCACGAGCCAACUCCGAAAGAAUAGGAAAUCUAGGAGCAUGUGUUUUCCACCAACUCAAGAUAUCAAAUUCUUCACUAAAAGGCUCUUGUUCUUCACUAAUGUAUUUAUCCAACUCCGAUUUAGCACCCCCACUUCCAUUGUCUUCCUUUUGUUUCUUUAAGCUAAGCUUAGUCCUAAUUUUUGAUGCACUUAUAACACUCCCACUAGGUGUCUUAGGUGUGUUGUUAGAUGAAGUAGAACUAGAUGGAUAUUGAUGACAAGAUUCGGUUGAAUACUUUUUUAGAUACUCCCCAAACAAAGAAUUCAUAUAAGCAUACACCUCAACAUUUAUUUUCUUCUCUUUUUCCUCCCCAAAAAGUUCUUCAAGUGCUCCCUCAACAUAUUCAAAUUUGUUACGUGGAUGCAAGACAGAAGCAAUAAAAAUCAUUUUAUUCAUCUUUUCAGGUUCACCCCAAUACUUCUUGAACUUUUCUUGCAUUUGCUCAGCCAUUUUCUCAAAUGCCCAUCCUCAAUAGUUAAAUACAUUUUCAAAUGACAAUAAAGUUCAGAUACAUCCUCAAAAUGAGAAUUACAAGUGACAUAACGGGAACCUGAAACUUUUUUAGUUAGCUCGUGAAAUCUUGCAAGAAACUCUAUAACAUUCCUCACAUUCACCCAAUCAUCAGAUUCAAGAGGACCUGCAUUACCACCAUCUUCACAAAGAUGAGAACAUUGAUAUGCAGAAAAUCCAUCAUCAAAAAGAUUCUUGUCAAAGGCUUUUUCAAAUUGUUGUGUUGUAUCCAACAUCAAAUAGGUGGAAUUCCACCUGGUAGGAAGUAGGAACAUCCAAACACAACAUUUUGGUACAUUCUACCUUUACAUGUGCNNNNNNNNNNNNNNNNNNNNNNNNNAACUUCCAAUCCCUAUCAAUGAAGUGGGCUGUCAAACCCAUAUAAUUUAUUCUUUGUAAUGAAGUCCAAGUGUCUGUUGUUAGGCAAAUUUUUGGAUGUGCUUCUCUAAAAGAACUUUUUAGAUUUUCCCUCAAUUCACCGUAAACUUCAUAACAGUUCCUUGUUAUUGUUCUACGAGAAGGAAUACGAAAUAGUGGUUGAGUUUUUCUCAUAAACUUUUUAAAGCCUUCAUUUUCUACAAAGCUAAAUGGUAGUUUAUCAGUAACUAUCAUCUCAAUUAAGGCCCUCCUAACCACUUUUUGAUCAAAUUUCCAAAUUGAUCCUUCAUCAGUUUGACAAGAUUGAAAAUUUAGUUUUGUUUGACUAUUAUCUUCUGCAAUUUUAAGUGGGUAUUCUUUGCAUCUAAGCAAAUGAUUCUUCAAUCCUGUUGUUCCAUUCUUAGAUGAAUUAGCAGCAUAAGCUUGUUUACAAUAUCGACGUCGUGCUUUCCCAACCCCAUUAACCUCAAAUUUAUCAAAAUGGUUCCAAACGUCAGACCUAGGUUGCAUUGCUUUCCUUUUCUUGGAAUCUUCACUAUCAAUGUUGUUGGUGUUACUAUCUACCGUAAUAGGUAAACUUUCAGUAGAACCAACAUCACUUACUUUACUUGUAUCUUCCAUCUAUACAAAAUUAAACAAAUAUAAACAUAAAUUAACAAUCAAUAAAUUAACUAAUAACUAUCUUGCUAUCAAUAACAAUUAACUAAUAAGUACCUUGCUACCUUACAAAAUUAAACAAAUACAAGUAUUAUCUACCUUGCUACCAAAGUAACAUGAGUUUUCUUAUGUGUGCACAUUAUAAGUCUAGGAUUAUCAUUUUCACUUUUCAGUGGUUUUUAGUUAUCUUCAAGUAUUAUCAUUUUCUGACUUUUUGAAUAUCAAUAACAAUUUCCUGUAACUUAGAAUUUGCUUUAGAAACAUUAUUCUUGAUAGUUUCUAAGGUCUUGAUUACAUCAAUCAUAAUUGUUACACCAAUUCUUGAUAGUCACUGACAAUAGAGCUGAUGUAACACCAUUGAGAACUCCAGCUCAGCUGAGAAGCUAAGAGAGUGACUAAAUCUUUUCUUGAAAUUCUAGAAGCCAACAUACUAGAAGAUACUGUAUUUCAUGAUUUUCAAAGAGAGGAGUCUGCUAUUGUUAGUUACUCAUAUGAAUAUGAUAUGGUAAAGUUCAAAAAAUCACACCUAAACAAGGUAAUACAACCAAAAGAAAGAGUAUUAACGUGAUACGAAUGAUAUUUUCCUACUAAAGGGAAAAGCUCGGAACAUCAGUUCAUUCAAUCAGCAAUACAACCAAAAGAAAGCGAAACAUACCUUUGAAAUUGAAAUUGAAUCGAGCUCGAUAGACUGGAACAUAACAGCAGCGUCUUUGACACUUCGUUUGCCCGGAAUCGAAUCGAGCUGGAAAUCGCCGCCUAUAACCCUAAAAUAGUUUGAUGCAGAAACUCAGAAAUUAAAUCUCAACAAAAGCCUCAGAAAGUAGUCGAGUACUGGGAUGAGAUCAUGAGAAUGAGAUGAGACUUACAAAACUUACAAAAGUAGUGAAGUUAACUGGUGAAGAUGAGAUGAGACUCGAGCUCGAAUGUCGACUGGUCGUAACUCGAUUCGCAGACUGAUAUCCUAGAGUCGCAGUCGAUUCUCGUCUUCUUCUUCUCGUUCUCGAUGAUAUCUCCUAACUCCUAAGCAAUAAGCACAGAAGGCUGAAGCAGUAAGCAAACCCUAUCUCGAAUUCUCGAUGAUAUCUCCCACCGGGCAAAUGAAGUGUCGAAGACGGAAGAACAGUAGAACACUAGUGUCUGCUAGGGUAAUCGUCUAAUCGAUUAUUUGAGGCAGAAGAUUGGGCUUGGGUUGGGAGUUGGGGGAGAUGGGUCUGGCUGGGUGUCCGUGUGGGGCUGUGGGCCUAUAAAAUAUGUAAUUGGGUUUGGGCCAUAUUUCGGUAUACCGAAAUAGUUAAAUUAUAAAACCGAAAACCGAACCGAAAUACCGAAAUACCGAAAAUUCAGUACCGAAUUAGACCGAAAUACCGAAAAACCGAAACCGAAAUACCAAAUUAAUUUGGUUCGGUUCGGAAUUCGGUUUUUCGGAUUUUAUGUCCACCCCUAGUAUAAAUGCAAAUCCCCGAUUUUACUCAUGUAUUCGGGGCCCUUAGGCUUGGCCCAUAUUUGGCAGUAGAAAGCCCGUCCAUUGGAUACUCUCAUACUCAUCCAAAUUCAACUCCAAAGCAAAGCUCUGUGAACGUCCCUCCCCCACUGAGGAAUUUAGUCCAAGUCCAAAUUUUGGUAAUGUUCAUAUCUUUUACUUUUUAAAACAAAAUAUCAUAUCAUCACAAAAACUACUUCACCAUUCAGUUCAAUUUUGACUCUCAUCCUAAUAUGAGUGCGAAGUAAAUCUAGGACAACGGAUAGAUUUCAUUUUUAGAAUUCGAACAUGAGACCUCUAGUUAAGAAUGAAUGAGUACUUACUUCCCAAACUAUCCUCGUUGGUCACUAUAUGGAUUUAAUGGUAUAGUAAAAUAUUCGUAAAGCAACUUAUCAUUGGUUUCUCGAUCCAAAAUAGUAUUCUGGAAGGUUUUUUAAUAGGAAAAAGGGACAAAUUUAUCCAUGUACUAUUGUAAACAGUUUAUAUUUUCCUGUCCUUAUUUUUUUGGUCUAAAUCUACCCUUUAGCAAAGUAAUAAAAAAUAUCCUUAUUUCUAAAUCUUACCUUCUCUCAAUUCGUAUGUAAAUUUAAAUAUCUAAGUUGACCAAAAGAGUAAGGUUUUUUUUUUCUAGUAUGAGCAGCCAGAUAUUGCAAAACUAUAAUUACUUUGAUCUUAUAUGUUGUUUGGCAAUUAAAUAUAUUUCCCUAAGAGGCUAAGACCUUCAGGAAAAUAUUAUCAAAUGAAUUGUUGGAAAAUGCCCGUAAAUAGUCUUAUUACCGAUUGUAUUCACUAAAACAAGAGUCACCUAUAUAUUGUACAAUAAAUUUGCGUCGAGAAAAUAAAAUGAAGACCGAAAAAUAUUGCAACAAUCAUCGUAUUUGAUUUCAAAUAUAUGAGUGUACAAUCUCUAUAAAUCCUCUGAUUCUUUUUUCCAAUAGUAAAUAAAUUCAAGGGCCUUUGAGCUUGAUCUUGAAUAUGUAGUUGCUGCCACGAACGAUGAUCUUGGAUUCAACUAGCACGAACUUUUUGAACUCGUACUCCUUGAAUCUUAAUUUGUUCUUCGUUCUUGAGCUUGAACUUGAUUUGUUCUUCGUUCUUGAGCUUGAACUUGAUUUGUUCUUUGUUCUUGAGCUUGAAGCUUGAAACUUGUAGAGAAAUUUGCGGUGUUUGAUCUACGAGCUCUCUCUUACUUCUUGUUAUAACUUCUGGUGUCUUUUCUAGGUUAUGAAGACCCAUAUUUAUAGUUGUGGGAGGGAAGAAUUAUGAUAAGAACAAAUUCUUUCCGACCAAUCAAGUUGAAGUGUGACAAGACCGCAUUUGAUUGGCUAGAACAUGUCAAUUGCACACACAACACGAUUUCAUUAGCCUUUUAAUGUGACUUGGCAUGCAAUAUCAUUUUGACACGUGGCAUGAUCCUAUUGGCUCUUCCACUUGACUUGGCGUGCCACGUCAUAUGACACAUGACACCAAACUGGACCUCUAGGAAGAUGACAUCUUGGGCUUAAUGAAGUGGGUUCAUCACUUUAGCUUAAUUAAAUGGGCUAGCCCAAUGGAUUAAGACUUGUUUAUUUAAUCCAUAUAUAUUGGACUUAUAUAAUUAAUUCAAUUAUACUAACCCACAAUACUUUUUUGGACUAAUAUAACUUGAAUUUAAAAUAUAAUCUAACUUGUUUUACAGAUUUAAAUCUAACAAAAUUUAAUUAUCUACAAAUGCCCCUACUUCAAGGUUUGUCGUAGUAUAAAUUUCAAGGACUAGACUUUGAAGUAUUUGUUGAAGACAAUUCGUAUUUUCCUUGGAAUGGCUUCAUCAGUGUCUCUUCUUAUAAUUAGAACACCUUAAUUGCAUUCUAUCUGGACCAAAAUAGUGACAGAUCCCAUUCGCCAUAAUUAAUCCUUUAACUAACUUUCCCUUUUACUUAAGCACCAAAAUUAAAAAUGAAUUCUAAAUGCCAAGCAAUCUUAGUUAAAGUGACACUGCAAGACUUCAAAAUUGACUUCUUAAUGGAGCACAUAGUUGAUCUACUACACGUGGCAGUUGCUAGAACAUAUGAAUUCAUCACAAUUUAUUAUUGUGUAGAUUCGUAUCACCACAAUUUUUAAUUCAAGUAGUACUCUGAAACACAUUUUUCCUUCUCCGACUACAAUUGUUAAUUUGAGUAGGAGUCAAAUUGUAGUAGCCCAUUCAUGUUGGAGACCAACCGUGAUAGCCGCCUUUAAUACUGAUCCCACAUCGGGACUUAGUUCUCAAUAGCCUACUCUAAUCAUAUACAUAAGGUUGCACUUUCUUCAACUCAUGAUCAACAAUUUUCAGUGCCUUUGACGCUUGUGAAGUAUCACCCAAGGUAAUUUCUUCUUCUAUUCUUGUACUUUUCUUCUUUUGCCAUUUUUUUAGGUCAAACAAGAAGGAUGUGCUCUUGUUUAACGAUAUGAUCCAUGCAUGAAGAAGACAAUCUUAGGGUAUGGGGGAUGGGUACUCAUCCUUGUCCGACUAUCGAAAAGAUUACUCUUAAUAUGACCCAACUAUCAGAGAGAUUACUCUCAAGGUGACCCGACUAUCGAAGAGAUUACUCUCAAUAUAGCCCGAAUAUCGGAGAGAUUACUCUCAGGAUGACCCGACUAUCGGAGAUAUUACUCUCAAGGUGGCCCGACUAUCAGAGAGAUUACUUUCAAUGUGGCCCAACUAUCGGAGAGAUUACUUUCAAGAUGGCCCAACUAGUAGAGAGAUUACUCUUAAUGUGGCCUGACUAUCGGAGAGAUUACUCUCAAGGUGAUCCGACUAUCAGAGAGAUUACUCUCAAGAUGGCCCGACUAUCGGAGAGAUUACUCUCAAGGUGGCCCGACUAUCGUAAAGAUUACUCUCAAGAUGACCCGAAUAUCGGAGAGAUUACUCUCAAUGUGGCCUGAUUAUCAGAGAAAUUAUUCUCAAGGUGUGACGGGAUGGAUACUCAUCCCCGCCCAAAAAUUGGAGGCCACUUCAAAGAUGCAAAGGUCCAUACGGCAUAUCGAAGUAUAAGUCCAUGGCAACAAAUAUAUGGAGAAAUCAUCAACAUCAUAUGGAGGACAAAUCCAAAAUAGCAUAUAUAAGGGUAAAUCCAUAAAUAGGCCAACUUAAGGUGCAAAGGGAUUUAAAUGUCCACCUUAAGAUUGAAAAGUUAUAGUUCCUUUUAAGGACAAACCCGCAAAGAGGCCAACUUAAGGUGUAAAGGGACUAACAUGUCCACCUUAAGAUUGAAAAAUUGUAGUUCCUUUUAAGGAUGAACCCGUGAAGAAGCCAACUUAAGGUGCAAAGGGACUAACAUGUCCACCUUAAGAUUGAAAAAUUAGAAAGCUUCAACUCGGAGACUUGGUGGACUAGAUGACAUCAACUUGAACACUUAGCGGACUUUGCAGACUUCAACUUGAAGACCGACAAACUUGAGGAUUUGAUGAACUUGAAGAUUCGACAGACUUUGACGCUUCAACCUGAAGACUUGAGGGAUUAAAUAUUUCAACUUGAAGGCCGGCGAGUUUGAGGACCUCAACUUGAAGAUUGACAGACUUGAAGACUUGGAGGCUUAAAUAUUUCGACUUAAAGACCGAAGAACUUGAAGACCGACAGACUUAAAGGUUGGACGAACAUGAAGACAUAGUGAACCCCCAGACUUCAGUGCAAAUACUUGGUAGCCUCCUAAAAGAGUAUAAUCGUCCCAUUGAAGACACUGGUUUACCAUGGAGGCUUGCCCCUCUAAUUCAUAUGAGAUCCAAAAUUCAAUAGAAGAAUGAUAUUUCAGCCCGACUUUAAAGUGUUGAUUGAAUGGAUUACAUUUCAUCGUACUUCAUUUGGAACACGAUUGAGAGAUUAUGUAUCUUUUGAAUUUAUGCGACUAAACUCAGAAUGAAACUCUAAGCUGCCUACGUAUCUCGGUGAAGAGGAUCAAGUCAUACCGUAGUUCAUAAUGGGUGUCCUAACUUUUGCCUAGGCCGCCUCUUUCGAGGUUUUCAAUCUAGCGGACUUUUUUUUAGAACAUACACAAUUUAGAUUCAUACGGUCCAGAGGUGUAGGAACAUGCAGUUUAGGCUCAUGCAUCAAGGAGCGUAGUAAUUUGAAGAUGAUUUAGCUUAUGUUUUGAAAUGCUUUACAACUUGACGACUUGCUCAAUUUUGAAGAGCUUUGCAACUUAAAGCUCGGCUCAAAUUUUAAGAGCUUCGUGACUUGAAGAUUUAUCUUAAAGUUGAAGAGCUUUGCAACUUGAAGUCUAACUUGAAUCUGAAGAGCUUUCGACUUGAGUCUUUGCUCGAAUUUGAAGAGCUUUGUGACUUGAAGUCUUUGCCCGAAUUUGAAGAGUUUUCGACUUGAGUAUUUUCUCGAAUUUGAAGAGCUUUACAUGUUGAAGAUUUAGUUCAAAUUUGAGGAGCUUCGUGACAUACAAUAUGGGAUCAUGUGCCAAGAAACAUUAUAACUUGUUGUUUAUGCUCGUGCGUUGAAGAGCAUUAAAACUUGCAGUUUAGGCUCAUGCGUUGAGGAUCAUUAUAACUUGCAACUCGUGCGUUGAGGAGCAUGGUGACAUGCAUAGAUUCUUUGAUUUCAUUUUCAGAUGAAAACUUGUCCCCGUCCUCUCCUUCUUGUUUUUCUUCUUCGUCAUAAGGCUCAAAGAUAAUUAGCCUUUGGUCUCCACUUGUGGCCAUACGUAGUUCCAUAUCAUGAACAUGAGUUGCUAGUUCUUCAAAUGUUUUAUGCUUUAUGCCUUGUAAGAUAUAGCGAAGACUCUAAUGCAUGCCUUAAAUGUAUAUUUCGAUGCCAGAAGUUUCGCUAAGGGUAUUUUUACAAUUUAGGCUUAAGCUCCUCUAGCGAUUGAUGAAGUCAAUAACUAUCUUAUACUUUCUUUGAUGAGCGUUUGUAAGUUCGAUCAUCCUUACGAUAUGUCUGGUGCUAUAAAAACGAUUGAGAAACUCUUGCUCCAGCUGCUCCCAGCUAUUGAUAAAAUUAGGUUCGAGAUCUGUGUACCAAUCGAAUGCAUUACCUUUGAGAGAACGAACAAACUGCUUGACAAGAUAAUCAUCGAAUGUUCCAGCAUUGUUGCAAGUUUCAACAAAGUGUGGUACAUGUUAUUUUGGAUUUCCCUUACCGUUGAAUUGUUUGAACUUAGGAGCUUGAUAACCAAUAUGCAUCUUCAAGUUAUCAAUUCUUUGCGUAUAUGGCUUUGCAUAUGUGAGAGAUAAUUUGGACAAUGACUCAGGCUUAUCUUUGAUAGCCUCCAUGAUGAAGUCCUUCAAUUUCUCAACGGGAACAGACCUUCAAUGGAGACUUGGAUCUCCUUGGCUAUCGUUGCUUGCAUUUUGGAAGAGUCUUCUUUUUUUUGCGACCCUUGAAAAUUUAAAGGUGUUUAUGUGGAUUCUCCUUCUACUAUGCUAUCCAAUUUAUUUGUUAACUUGGAAAGUUUAGCAACUUGAACGUGCAUGCGCUUUGACAAGCCUUCAACUGCUUUCGUCAAAUUUGUAAGUUGUUCUUCUAUGGUAGAAGAUUCAAUAACCAUUGCUUGCAUAAUCAACGUAGAGGAUGAAGAAUUAUAUAGAUCAUUAUUGGGAUAGAGCUUAGAGGUCGCAUUACUGGAGGCUAGAGUAGAUCCAGCGCUGAAGUCAUCAUCAUCAUCGACUUGGAUGAAUGGUUUCUUUGACUUAGAUAAACUAAGUUGGGCAAAAAUCUUUUCAAUCCUUUCGGUGACUUCAUUCCCUUUUUGGAUCGUGCUUACAAAAGAUCUCAUUCCUUUUGAGGAUGAAGAUCCCAAAAUAAGGGUUGAUACGGAUGACACUUGGAGUGUUUGUUGUCCUAAAGAGCUUGCUUUGCUCCUUGUAACUGGUCCAAAGCUUCCAAAAGUAACAUCGAGGAUACUUUCUAUAUCAGUAUAGAACCUAGAAUUAGUAGCCUUGACGAAAGUUGAUAUGGAGUUGAUUUUCUUUGAAGUCAUUUCAACGUUCUUGAACUUUGGUGAUUGAAAAGUUGAGAUGAGAGGUAGAGAUUGUCCCACUGGGCAUGCCAGAAUUUGUAGACAAUAAAUUUGCAUCGAAAAAAUAAAAUCAAGACAAAAAAAUAUCGCAACAAUCGCAAUAUUUUAUUUCAAAUAAUAUGAGUGUACAAUCUCCAUGAAUCCUCUGAUUCUUCUUUCCAAUAGUAAAUAAUUCAAGGGCCUUUGAGCUUGAUCUUGAAAAUGUAGUUGAUGCCAUGAACGAUGAUCUUGGAUUUAACUAACACGAACUUUGAUUUGAACUCGUACUCCUUGAAUUUUGAUUUGUUCUUCGUUCUUGAGCUUGAACUUGAUUUGUUCUUCGUUUUUUAGCUUGAACUUGAUUUCUUGAACUUGAACUUGGUUACUUGAAGAUUGAAACUUAUAGAGUAAUUUUGCGGCAUUUGAACUACGAGCUCUCUCUUACUUCUUGUUAUGACUUUUGGUGUCUUUUUUGGGUUAUGAAGACCCCUAUUUAUAGUUGUAAGAGGGAAGAGUUAUUGUAGACAUGUGAUUUUUGACCCUCCCCAAGAUUUUUUAUAUUUUAGCAUGUAAAUAUUUAAUUUAGGCCUAAUAUCGUUAUUUCAACUAAUGUUGACUCUUUUACUUUAUUUUAUUACAAGAAAAUAAAAAUUACAAAAAAUAGUUUUAUUAAUAUUUUGUAGUCAUUUUUAAUCUUAAAAAAUACCAAAAAUAGUUUUGUUUAAACGGUCAGUCUUAUUUUAAUGGCUAUUUUACUUAAGUAGGAUUAAUUGGUAAAUAAGAUCGUAUUUUGAGUCUUGUUUACGGUGAAAGAAUAAAUUUUGGGCUUAAACAUCCAAUUUUUAGGUCUAAUUUUUGGACCUAGCUCAUAAUUCCCAAGCCCAUAAUUCCUAGGCCCAUACUCCUUAACCUAAAUAUAACCCUAAAACCCUAAACCUAUAAAAAGAAGCUAACACCUAACGCCUAAGGGAGCUGAAAAAUACAAAAAAGACUAGACCUAGAGAUAUAGAGAUCAGCGCCGUUUUCAAUACAUAGACCCCCUAGCCUUGGCUUCUUCUUCCUUGAUUUUUCUCUACAAAGCAUCAACUACAUAUACAAAGAACACAGCAAUCAGCCAAAAAAAUUACAAAAAACAAUGACCUAGACCCUAGAUAUACAAGGAGUGUUGUUUUUGGACUGAGAACCCUCCCCCAUCGGUCUUCUUCUCCAAACAUCAACAACCAUUUGACCUUGAGGACCUUCAACCAAGAGACGAACCCAUCGUCACUUCUUCUUUAGGUACCCGAAACAGCUAUGAAAGAAGCUCGCCACAACCAGCCACCUCCCUUCACCCAUCGUUGUUUCUGUUUCUUUUCGUUCAUAGCAGCUCGCCGGAAAACGAACUGAAACGACCACCAAAAUCAACCUAGACAGCCUGCUUCUGCCCCGUUCUAACGCAGUCGAAGUUCUGUCCAUUUUCGAGUUCGUCGGUAAGUUUCGAUACUCCGUCUGAGGGCUGGUUCAUGGUCUUAUCCGUUUCUGCUUGUUCAAGUUAUUAAGAAUCAAGUUUGUUGGAUAAGGAAAUGUUGAAGUUUAAAGAGGUCAUGUUCUAACUUUACCUAUCUUUCUAAUUUCCAGAUCUUGUGUCAUGGUUUUUUGAAUUAUUUGUUUGACUUCAUUUAUUUCCGUCUGACUUGUUUGCUUACGAGACUUGCUUUCUUUAGUUAACUGUAAAUAACUAGCUAUUAUAUUUUCUAUUUUUUUCUUGGAAUUAAGGGAAUAUGUGAUUCUUAGAAUGUUGCCUUGUCUAUAUAUUAAGAAUUAUAUAGGUUCAAUUGUUAGGCCGAAUCCAUGAAAUUUUCCGUUAUGUUAGUAAGGAUCAUGUACAUAAUUAUUUAUCUCUGUAGGCUAUCUUUUGGUGGAAAUCUAUGUAAAUAUUUUCUCUUGUCUAUACAUGAAAUGCCAAGAUUUAGCUACUGUCCACAUUAUAAAGCAUGUUCUAAGAUUCUUUUAUUACAAGAUUGUAGAAAUCAUGUCCAUAAGAAUUGUGUUUUCAACCGGAAAUGCUAUAACAAGUGGAGCUUUGAAUCAUUUCUUUUAGUUUUUUUAUUUUUUAUUUUACCUUAGGCUACUAAUAGUCCGGGGUGUGCCAUCCACGAUUUAAUCAUACAUGGCCUCAUAUUAAUCUCAUAACCUAAAUAUAAAAAUGACAAAUUCUCGUAGUUUGCUUUAGGUGCGUUAAUUAAAUAAAGUGUCAUAGCUAUGGGUAUGGUUCCCGUGACGUAAGUAUGACACACAAUUUCCAAAUCCGGGUGUGCAUUUUAUGUGACUCGACUUCAAUUCCCAAUGAUGUUUAAUAAAUAAAUAUGUCGUGAACUGCGGGUGCAUUUCAUAUAGUGUGGUUUACGACUUAUUUUCAAAAGCGGACAAGUGUAUGACAAUUAUGAAUUUUCCUAAAAAAUAUUAAAAGCGGUUAGAAAGUUAAAAAAUGCACAUAGGUUUAAAAUGUGUAAUUAAUCAGAUAAUUAAGUCCAUAAUAAUAAUUGAGCGACCGUGCUAGAACCACAGAACUCGGGAGUGCCUAACACCUUCUCCCGGAUUAACAGAAUUCCUUACCCGGAUUUCUGUGUUUCGCAGACAUUAAUACACAGUCAAAUUUCCUCGAUUCGAGAUUCUAAACCGGUGAUUUGGGACACCAUAAAUUAUCCCAAGUGGCGAAUCUAAUUUUUAAACAAAUAAUCCCGUUUCGAUUGUCACUUAAAUUGGAAAAAAACUCCCUUAUACCCUUCCGGGGGGUAGUAAAAGGAGGUGUGACAGCUCUGGCGACUCUGCUGGGGAAAAGAACCCAGAAUCUCUGGUCCAGGGUUCAGAAUUCGAGCUUAGAAUAACUGUUAUGGUUGGCUUUCAUUUAUUAUCUGAGUUUUAUAUGUUUGAGCCUAAUGUGCUAAAUGCCAUUUUUUACCGAUUUGAUAUUGUUUGGACUGUAUAUAAAUUAUUACGAAACCUUCUUCUCUCUGAGUCUUCUAAAUCAUCUGGGAAGUGUGCGCUUCGUGUGACUUCUUUUCUAUUAGAGUCAUAUUCUAAUUUUAGAANNNNNNNNNNNNNNNNNNNNNNNNNNNNNNNNNNNNNNNNNNNNNNNNNNNNNNNNNNNNNNNNNNNNNNNNNNNNNNNNNNNNNNNNNNNNNNNNNNNNNNNNNNNNNNNNNNNNNNNNNNNNNNNNNNNNNNNNNNNNNNNNNNNNNNNNNNNNNNNNNNNNNNNNNNNNNNNNNNNNNNNNNNNNNNNNNNNNNNNNNNNNNNNNNNNNNNNNNNNNNNNNNNNNNNNNNNNNNNNNNNNNNNNNNNNNNNNNNNNNNNNNNNNNNNNNNNNNNNNNNNNNNNNNNNNNNNNNNNNNNNNNNNNNNNNNNNNNNNNNNNNNNNNNNNNNNNNNNNNNNNNNNNNNNNNNNNNNNNNUUUUAAACCUAGAAUAACUCAGCCUCAUGUCGGAUCCCUAGUAGGAACGUUUGUUUGCAUCAUGUGCAUUUGACUUUGGGGACUCAACACAGAGGUUGGGUUUUCUAGGACAGAUGUACCCAAAAAAUAAAAGACCAUCCUGAUGCAUUCUAUGUGCAACAUGUUGCAAUCUUCAAGGGUGAAAGGAGUCAUUUGGCGGACCAAUGAGGGUUGAGGAUAAAUGAAAAAUAGGGUAAAAUGUGAAAAUAAAGCAAGUAGGGCCCAUUUAUAUUUUUCUUUUACAAAAAAUCCAUAAAGAUUGUGCACUUUCCCAUCAUUUUCCCAAAAAUUAAAAAAAAAAGGAAAAAAGAAAAAUCCAAAAAGAGUUUACAUAUUUCAUCAUUUUUCAAACAAAAAAAAUAGACAAAAAUUAUAUUUUCUCUAAAUUAGUUGCCUUUUUUAAUUUCUCGCCCGUAUCCAAUCUGCCCGAACUUCGCAUACCUGAUUCUCGUCUUUCGGGGCGUGAUAUGCACAUAGAGUCCGGUCUUCUUAGUGAGUCUUAGGUUCUUGGCUUCGCGGUAUCUUAGCCGAAUCUUGCAUUUUUAACCACUUUUAGCCACAUAGGUUAAUUUUAGAAAAAUAGUCAAUCAUGUCUUGCAUAUGUCCAACAGGAAGGGUUAUUGUCUCACAUAGCAUUCUAGGUUUUUAACUUUAUGUGGUCUUAAUUUUAUCAUAUAGGUGGAUCUACUUACCGAAGUUUGGGCAUGACAGACGCCUUAGGACCAUCCAAUCAGGAUCACUCAUUCAGGAGUUUGCUUGAGGAGAUUUUCUUUAUGUUUUUAGUCUGUUGUUCUUUUUUAUAUCAUCUUUUACCGUCUAGUUUUGUACAGUAAUGUCGAGUCUUUUAGGUGAUGUUAGAGUUUGUCAUAGUCUAGUUAAGUUUGCCGAGUCUUUUGUUAUUGUAUUUCUUAUUUUGUAUUUGGAAAUGUGUUACAAGUCAAAAAAAAGGAAAAAAAAGAGAUUUUGUGUUUUAUAUUUCCGUUAG
Molecule: long non-coding RNA, 41579 nt
Filed under: Nicotiana tabacum (common tobacco)
Lineage: Eukaryota; Viridiplantae; Streptophyta; Magnoliopsida; Solanales; Solanaceae
Description: long non-coding RNA (NTAB_LNC002053)
Source: RNAcentral